RNAcentral lists this ribosomal RNA (253 nucleotides) under uncultured bacterium. RNAcentral describes it as "partial 16S ribosomal RNA". It matches the Rfam family "Bacterial small subunit ribosomal RNA", at positions 524 to 776 of the family's 1533-position model. The record is from RNAcentral.
GACGUAGGGGGCGAGCGUUGUCCGGAUUCACUGGGCGUAAAGCGCGCGUAGGCGGCUCGCUAAGUCGGAUGUGAAAACCCGGGGCUCAACCCCGGGCCUGCACCCGAUACUGGCGGGCUGGAGGCAGGUAGGGGAGAUCGGAAUUCCCGGUGUAGCGGUGAAAUGCGCAGAUAUCGGGAGGAACACCGGUGGCGAAGGCGGAUCUCUGGGCCUGUCCUGACGCUCAGGCGCGAAAGCUAGGGGAGCAAACAGG